RNAcentral lists this unclassified non-coding RNA (232 nucleotides) under uncultured fungus. Its description in RNAcentral is "sequence contains ITS1". Lineage: Eukaryota; Fungi. The record is from RNAcentral.
GUUAUGAUUAUAUAUCAAUGGGACUUUCUACAUGUUUUGUGAAGAUGACAUAGACAAGGGAAAGCCGACUUGAAAGCACAGCAGUCCCAACUCGAACGAAUCAUAGGUCUACAAUAGGUGCACAGUUGGAGAAAUAAGAAUUGACAAGUGUGCACAUACCCCUGUGGGGGGCCAGCAACAACCUGUUCAAGUUUAUUCGAUAAUGAUCCUUCCGCAGGUUCACCUACGGAAA